This 304-nucleotide ribosomal RNA is filed under the name uncultured bacterium. RNAcentral describes it as "partial 16S ribosomal RNA". It matches the Rfam family "Bacterial small subunit ribosomal RNA", at positions 506 to 807 of the family's 1533-position model. The record is from RNAcentral.
CAGCAGUAGCCGCGGGAAAACAGAGGGUGCGAGCGUUAAUCGGAUUUACUGGGCGUAAAGCGUGCGUAGGCGGCUUCUUAAGUCGGAUGUGAAAUCCCUGAGCUUAACUUAGGAAUUGCAUUCGAUACUGGGAAGCUAGAGUAUGGGAGAGGAUGGUAGAAUUCCAGGUGUAGCGGUGAAAUGCGUAGAGAUCUGGAGGAAUACCGAUGGCGAAGGCAGCCAUCUGGCCUAAUACUGACGCUGAGGUACGAAAGCAUGGGGAGCAAACAGGAUUAGAUACCCCCGUAGUCCCUGUCUCUUAUAC